This is a long non-coding RNA of Ictalurus punctatus (channel catfish), 1077 nucleotides long. The record is from Ensembl. Lineage: Eukaryota; Metazoa; Chordata; Actinopteri; Siluriformes; Ictaluridae.
CUUGUUCUGGUAAACUACGUGAUAGAUUCCUCACUAUUUGGCCGAGGUUAUUUUUACCCGUAAGUCCUGGCAACGCUGCCUGUGUGGGGCGGAGCUGUUACUUGGCAGCAUUUUCCCUUGAAACAAGGCUGUGAUUUGCUUCUGUUUGGUUUUCUCAGACACAUUAAGGAGUGAGAGGCAUUAUUUUAGACAAAUGAUCCAAAGUCAUCACAGUGAUACAAUAACUGAGAGAUUUGCUGAGCGAAACACAUGAACAUAUGGAUUGAUUAAAAUAUAGGAAAGGAAACAGACCUGGAAGCGGUGAAAGGGCUCUUUUUUGAUCCUUUAAUAAUGUGCAGUCUUUAUAUAACCUCAGGAUCUAUGAGAGACGGCAGGUGUUAGUCAUUUUCUUUGUGACGGUGCACCUUAGUCAUCCUAAAUAACACACAUCUGAGUGCAAUUUAAUAAACAUGUGGACUGCUGAACUGCUCGUUUUUACAUCUUCUCUCAAGAACACCACCAAUUUCCCUGUAUUUUGGAGAGACGAGGGUCGUGGGGAACCUGGACGGGGUGCCAAUCCAUCGCAGGGCACAAUCACAUACACAUUCACACACCCAUUCAUACAUUAUGCAUGCCUUUGGACUGGAGGAGGAAACCGGAGUACCUGGAGGAAACCUCCGCAGCACGGGGAGAACACGCAAACUCCACACACACAGGGCAGCGGCGGGAAUCAAACCCUCAACUCUGGAGCGAUGGAGUCUGGUCUGAGGCGGGAGACGAGUGGUGUGCAGAUGUGCAAAGAGGACCAGAGAGAAAAAGAGGGAGGGAAAGAAGACGGGGAAGACGGGGAAGAGGAGCAACAAAACAUCGAAGUGAUUGUCUUACCUUAAAGAUUCUUUUCAAUAUAGUAAAUGAUUAUAAUAGUUUCCAUAAACAGACAAACAUACAAGAACUCUCUCUCUCUCUCUCUCUCUCUCUCUCUCUCUCUCUCUCUCUCUCUCUCACACACACACACAUAUUUUGGAAAUUGGCAUCACUCAGAUUUUGUCUUGCCUUAAAAUCCUCAAGAAUUUUCAUUCCCCAUAAUUCCUUUCCUCA